Molecule: transfer RNA, 92 nt
Filed under: Arsenicibacter rosenii
Lineage: Bacteria; Pseudomonadati; Bacteroidota; Cytophagia; Cytophagales; Spirosomataceae
Description: tRNA-Thr
Rfam family: tRNA
About the family: Transfer RNA (tRNA) molecules are approximately 80 nucleotides in length.
Source: RNAcentral
UGCGGGAUAGAGCAGAUGGAAGCUCGGGAGUAUGGUACGCCAUCGCGGUCAUAAGCUCCAGGUCGCCGGUUCGAGUCCGGCUCCCGCAACCA